RNAcentral lists this unclassified non-coding RNA (233 nucleotides) under Hevea brasiliensis (rubber tree). Lineage: Eukaryota; Viridiplantae; Streptophyta; Magnoliopsida; Malpighiales; Euphorbiaceae. The record is from RNAcentral.
GUCCCCUCCCAUUGUGCGCAAAAUUGAAAUAAUUAAAUCAAAUCAAAUUUAUAAAAUAUAAUCUUUUUGAUAUAGAUUAAAGAAUCUUAAAAUAAGAAAACAUGUUUGCAACUUGUUGUUCCUUCUUCCCUUUCUAGCUUUCAUAAUAAUUUUUCUCUUGCCUCCUUCUAGUCCUCCCUUUUUUGAAAGCUACGUUCUCUCUCUCCCUCUCUUCCUUGUACCUCUCAUUUGAG